CACAGAUUAGCUUCUUCUUCUUCGUUGGUGUUCGUGGGGAGCUGCCCGCACCGCCACCUGCUGGGCGGAGGCAGCCGCGCACACACGUGACAGGUUGUUGUUCAGCAGGGAGGAAAGUAACUAAGAACAUUUACUCAGCCGAUGUCAGCUGGUCCUCCUGAACAACACAGAUUAGUUUGUGGACUGAAGUCUGGUCGACAGGACGACUUCAGGUCAAACUGUCAGAAUAAAAUCCUGCUGAUGAACUUGUUUCACUUCAAGAAUCUCAGGAGAGGACGAAGAAACAAGAAAUGACUGCAGGUGAACUGAGGCAGAGAGCUCAGAGCAAACAUCCUGAGCCCAGAACCAGAACUCUGCUGUGACAACACGCCUCCUCCUCAGACUGAAGGCUGUUUGUGAGGCUCUGACAUGUGAUCAUGUGACCGCAGCUCCAUGUUUUUCUCUCUCAGCGCUUCGUCCUGUUCAAACGCUCAUGUAGUCAGAAACAGCUGCUGGCUGGAUGAAGAGAGUGAGACGAGUCACCGAGUCGUGACGUGAUGAUGAAACACAGCAACAACUGCUCCAGGACACAUUUCCUCUGUACACAGACGAGCUGAAUGGGUCAGAACCAAACUCUGAGUCACUGUGAGAUCCAGUCUGUCAUCACAGAUAAACUCCAUGAGGAUUAAAUGAUGUCU
This is a long non-coding RNA of Acanthopagrus latus (yellowfin seabream), 677 nucleotides long. RefSeq lists it as uncharacterized. The transcript has 4 exons. Lineage: Eukaryota; Metazoa; Chordata; Actinopteri; Spariformes; Sparidae. The record is from RefSeq and is a predicted model, not a curated record.